UUAUGACUCCAGUGGCGGAUGUAUGUAACAGCAGCAUACUGAAUGAAGAGGAAAUGCUCUAUCGUUUGCAAUAAUCGCCAAGACACGAUCUGCGAUAAUGGCUACCAAUCACUCUUGUCUACCCUGCACUUUUGUUGCGAUAUCUGGAGACAACUUCUAUUUUCAAGUUAACGACGAUGAAACAGAUUUGCAGUGUGAUUCAUAUCAAAUAGCCACAACAUCCAAGGCCAAGCAUUGGCUCCGAGUCCAAGACAACUGCUUUCUCUCAGUUACUGGAGAACAGUGUCACUUUGUGCAUUUAAACGAGGAGGAAGAAGGACCUGACUGUCAGUUCAUCGUUCAACCGUUCAACGAGACCCCGGACUCCCCCCACUCUGAGGCUAGAGGAAGGGCCGUCACCCUGGCUGUUAGGGAGGAGAGCAAGUACAAGGUGGUGUCCUGUCGGGAGGGCAGCAACGACAUCAAGGUGGAGAUCAUGAAUAAACUUCCAGAGACAGUCGGCGACACUGACUGCUGGUUCUUGUUCUACAUGAAGGACUGUAUUGGGAGGAGUGGGCACUACCUGUUCGUGUCCGCUGCCAAGCCGAAAUUCGCCCUGGCCAUCGAACCGGAACAAGGGACUACCCGAAUAAACAAACUAGUGUUGCGACAAUUAGAUGAUGAGGUGGACGAGGGCUGCCACAUUGCAGUGCCUGAAGUGCGUCGGUCUGUAAAUGCAAAUAAAUAGAUGAUAAAUAAAUGUGAAGUGUUAUUUGUUCCCUAGAAUCCCUUGUACAUUUUGCUAUCGAUGAGCACCUGAUACUUGUUUUUGCCUUGCCUGCGCUAAUUGUUGCCAGCGACUCCACUGACAGAUCACAGUCCAGAUGUGCUUCUUCUUGCCUUGUGCCACAGCGCCACGCGUCCAUAUACAUGGCAAGCGGUCAAGGCUUGGGAAGGCAAUGCUCAUCAUUUGCCUUUGCUUGAUUCCUUGCUCCAAUGUCCUGUUGAUGGCCUUUGCUACCCAUCCACAUAAAACAAGGUGUGCUGUAACCCAGGAGCCAAAAUGUACUUACAUUGAUGGCAAACACCAAGCAGGCCGAGAAGAAUAUUGAGUACUUCAGGAUUCAUUAAUCUAUCACAAGUAGUCAAGAAGCCUACAAGAAUAUGCCGUAAAGCUGAUCGAGUCAAAUCCUCAACUUGUAUUGAUCUAAUAUUUACAAAUGUUUCGGAGCUGUGUUCAAAAGUAAUUUCCAUUCCCAUAGGCUGCAGCGACCACAACCUUAUCGCUAUUGGAAGAAAGACGAAAAUACCCAAGCAGGGUCAGAAAGUUAUUUUCAAACGAAUCUUUAAAAACUUUAAUGAAUAUAACUAGUGUAAUGAAGUAAGAGAGGUUGACUGGUCUGAUGUUAGACAGAAGGAAGACCCUGAUCUUGCUCUGCGUGCGUUUGACAGUUUAUUACUCCCAAUCGUGAAUAAACAAGCUCCUGUCAGGAAGUUAACGGUGCGAAACACACCAUGGGGCCCUAUUUUAACGGUCUGAAACGCAAGUGGGAAGCGCAAAGCGCAAGUAGCUUUGUGGGCGGUUCUACGGCGCUAUCGCUAUUUUACAGGCGGAUAAAUGACACUUGCGUCGCGGCGCAAGUGUCAAAAGGGUUGGUCUGAAGCAGCCUAGUUACCCGUAGGUGUGGUUUGGGCGUAACGUCCAACAAACCAAUGAGAGUGCCAGCUCCCAUCCCCUUUAAGAGCCAUGAGCGCAUUUGAAUCGGACGAGUUGAUAUUUUGACAGCGCGUCGGCAGUCUCCGAUGAGACAGAUGCACAUGAAUUUGAAACUGCAAAUGGCUCAGUUUAUUGCCAAAUAAUAUGGCCUAAUUCACACAUGGAAUAAGGGGUUUUCUUCACCAACUUCAGAAAUACUGAGUCCUCAAAUAAAUUUCGGCAAAGAAACGUAUAUGAUAUAACAUAUGAUAUGCGGUAACUGUGGUUCUAUUUAAUGAUAUACGUGUGGCAAUAUGUAGUUUGUUGUCAUGGUGACUGUCAGCUGUGCGGCAGUCCCAGCCAAUCACGGUGGGAGACUAUCUAUAAAGGCGGGCGUAGAGCGCCUGUCGGCAUCUUGCUUGCCGCAGGCUGGGUCACGUUGCGCCUGGGCGUCCAUUUCCGCUUCCGUGCGGUGACAGGCUCUUGCUUGCCGGAGGCUGGGACACGUAGCUCCUGUGCGUCUAUUUCCGCUUCUGUGCAGUGAUAGGGCUCACUUGGAUGUUGCUGCUGGCUGCGCGCUGCUCAUCGAUACAUAGCCGAUGCCGCCUACUGAACUGUCGCUUUUGUAUAGCGUCCCGUUCCCUGCUCCACGUCACGUUGGCCGGGACUGCCCGAUUGGGUGGCCGACAGUAGCGGCGCAGCGGCGGCCAAUCCACCUGUAAAAACCACUGCUGCUUUGCUUGCACGUUAUUACCGCCUUGCCAGGGCCAGCUCGGACCCGAUCGCUUUGCCGUUCAUUCGGCUAGCGAUAGUUUGUUCCUUUUCCUGUUGUGUCGCUAUCUCUUUUGUUUAGUUGGUGCCACUACAUAUUAAAGUGUGUAUGUUAUGUAAGAGUUUUUGCUGAUUUCUCCUUGUUUACUUAUAGUUUUUGUUUAUUUAAUUAAUUUCUCUUAUUAUUAUUUUGUUUCCAUUAUGUUUUCUAACUGGUUGCUCUGCGAUCCCCCUCAAUUCAGGUGCUGAGCCUACGGUGGUGGACUGGUGUCCUGGUCACGGUGUCCCUUUUGUAUUGUGUUUGCAUUUGGUUUAUUUUUCAUUUGUUUUACGUGUGGUGUUCCUGGGACCCCCUUUCCUUUGGAUGCAGGUGUUCACAGUAGGUCUCAGCACUGAUUGGAUCUCAGCACCCAAUUUCCCUCCUUAGUGAGUAAUUCUCUAGUUUUAAGAACAGACAUUUUGUAUAAAUAAAAGUAUUUUUGUAUGAUUGAACAGAUCGUCUCUGCCUCAUUGCAUAACGGACCUCAGUGCCUUUCCUUCAUUUGUGCUAGUCCACUUAAAAUAAAUCUCUGGGUGAAAUUCCCAGGGUGGCGUUGUCUGGCAAUAAUUAAUGCUACCGAUACUGCCUUAAGAAAAGGGGCAUCACUCCAUAGCUCGUGCUGCC
Long non-coding RNA from Gadus morhua (Atlantic cod), 3110 nucleotides. The record is from Ensembl. NCBI's taxonomy places the organism in Eukaryota, Metazoa, Chordata, Actinopteri, Gadiformes, Gadidae.